AGGCAGCAGUGGGGAAUAUUGCACAAUGGGGGAAACCCUGAUGCAGCGACGCCGCGUGAGUGAAGAAGUAUUUCGGUAUGUAAAGCUCUAUCAGCAGGAACGAGACAAGACGGUACCUGACUAAGAAGCCCCGGCUAACUACGUGCCAGCAGCCGCGGUAAUACGUAGGGGGCAAGCGUUAUCCGGAAUCACUGGGUGUAAAGGGAGCGUAGACGGCUGUGCAAGCCUGAAGUGAAAGGCGGGGGCCCAACCCCUGGACUGCUUUGGGAACUGUACGGCUGGAGUGCAGGAGAGGUAAGUGGAAUUCCUAGUGUAGCGGUGAAAUGCGUAGAUAUUAGGAGGAACACCAGUGGCGAAGGCGGCUUACUGGACUGUAACUGACGUUGAGGCUCGAAAGCGUGGGGAGCAAACAGGAUUAGAUACCCUGGUAGUCCACGCCGUAAACGAUGAUUACUAGGUGUCGGGGGGCAGAGGCCCUUCG
Molecule: ribosomal RNA, 481 nt
Filed under: uncultured bacterium
Lineage: Bacteria
Description: bacterial SSU rRNA
Rfam family: Bacterial small subunit ribosomal RNA
Source: RNAcentral